RNAcentral lists this ribosomal RNA (443 nucleotides) under uncultured bacterium. Its description in RNAcentral is "bacterial SSU rRNA". It matches the Rfam family "Bacterial small subunit ribosomal RNA", at positions 954 to 1392 of the family's 1533-position model. The record is from RNAcentral.
GCACAACGCGAAGAACCUUACCAGGCCUUGACAUCCAAUGAACUUUCUAGAGAUAGAUUGGUGCCUUCGGGAACAUUGAGACAGGUGCUGCAUGGCUGUCGUCAGCUCGUGUCGUGAGAUGUUGGGUUAAGUCCCGUAACGAGCGCAACCCUUGUCCUUAGUUACCAGCACGUAAUGGUGGGCACUCUAAGGAGACUGCCGGUGACAAACCGGAGGAAGGUGGGGAUGGACGUCAAGUCAUCAUGGCCCUUACGGCCUGGGCUACACACGUGCUACAAUGGUCGGUACAAAAGGGUUGCCAAGCCCGCGAGGGUGGAGCUAAUCCCAUAAAACCGAUCGUAGUCCGGAUCGCAGUCUGCAACUCGACUGCGUGAAGUCGGAAUCGCUAGUAAUCGUGAAUCAGAAUGUCACGGUGAAUACGUUCCCGGGUCUUGUACACACCG